UAAGGAAUAUUGGUCAAUGGGUGCAAGCCUGAACCAGCCAUCCCGCGUGAAGGACGACUGCCCUAUGGGUUGUAAACUUCUUUUGUAUAGGGAUAAACCUUUCCACGUGUGGAAAGCUGAAGGUACUAUACGAAUAAGCACCGGCUAACUCCGUGCCAGCAGCCGCGGUAAUACGGAGGGUGCAAGCGUUAUCCGGAUUUAUUGGGUUUAAAGGGUCCGUAGGCGGACUUAUAAGUCAGUGGUGAAAGCCUGUCGCUUAACGAUAGAACUGCCAUUGAUACUGUAAGUCUUGAGUAUAUUUGAGGUAGCUGGAAUAAGUAGUGUAGCGGUGAAAUGCAUAGAUAUUACUUAGAACACCAAUUGCGAAGGCAGCUUACUGGGCCAUUACUGACGCUGAUGCACGAAAGCGUGGGGAGCGAACA
RNAcentral lists this ribosomal RNA (422 nucleotides) under uncultured prokaryote. Its description in RNAcentral is "bacterial SSU rRNA". It matches the Rfam family "Bacterial small subunit ribosomal RNA", at positions 355 to 774 of the family's 1533-position model. The record is from RNAcentral.